UACGGAGGGAGCUAGCGUUGUUCGGAAUUACUGGGCGUAAAGCGCACGUAGGCGGCUAUUCAAGUCAGGGGUGAAAGCCCGGGGCUCAACCCCGGAACUGCCCUUGAAACUAGAUAGCUAGAAUCUUGGAGAGGCGAGUGGAAUUCCGAGUGUAGAGGUGAAAUUCGUAGAUAUUCGGAAGAACACCAGUGGCGAAGGCGACUCGCUGGACAAGUAUUGACGCUGAGGUGCGAAAGCGUGGGGAGCAAACAGG
This 253-nucleotide ribosomal RNA is filed under the name uncultured bacterium. RNAcentral's name for it is "partial 16S ribosomal RNA". It matches the Rfam family "Bacterial small subunit ribosomal RNA", at positions 524 to 776 of the family's 1533-position model. The record is from RNAcentral.